GCUUGGGAUUAUGAUGUGACCUGGGAUGAAGAAGGAUCGAGAUGAGAAAAUUCCGCCAUUGUUGUAAAGAGAGACGAUACGCUUACAGAUUUGUUUUCUCGUUUAUGUCAAUUGCUUUCACAGCUAAAGCAUGUAAGUAUAUUCAAAAGAUACAUCUAACUAGUUCCACCGAUUUGUUUAUACUAUAAUGUGCUGAGAUGAUGAUAAUAAUCCAAUGCAGACCUAUUUAAAUUCGGUCCAUUCAGCUUCCCCUCUUUCAAUGCUGUAGAACCGGUGUGGCCCACCAUUUUAUUUUCAUAAAACUUAGAAAUUUACGAUAAUAUAUGCAAUUUUAUAGUGUUAUUCUACUCCCGAUUCUUAUCCCGUUAAAAUGAUACUAUUUUCGUUUAUUUUGAUCAAAUAGUGUUUUCAUAAAAUACCAUCAAAGGUGAUUUAUUUAUUUUUCACAUUAGUACUCAAAUCCAGCUAUGCGAGAACUACCUUUUUUUCAUAAAACUUAGAAAUUUACGAUUAUAAAUGCAAUUCCAUAGUGUUAUUCUUUUCCCGAUUGUUAUCUUGUUAAAAUGAUACUGUUUUCGUAUACUUUGAUUAAAUAGUGUUUUCAUAAAAUACCAUCAAAGGUGAUUUAUUUUGUUCACAUUGAGACCCAAACCCGGCUAUGCGGGACUUACCUUUUUUCAUAAAACUUAGAAAUAAUAGAAUAAAUAUGCAUUUUAAUGAGCCUGUAUUUAUUCCAAAUGUUUUCUUGUUAAAAUAAGAUCAGCGGGGCAUAUAUUUUAUUACCAUGGACAUGUAGACAUUCCCAAUUUAUUUCUCUUUUCUUUGUAAAUUUUCCCCAUCAUUCUCUAUUCUUCAUUUAUUUUAGCAUCCCAUCAUUCUCCAAUCUUAAUAUUUUGAUAAGAUGUUUCCUCUUGUCCUUACUUCUCUGAUUUCAAAUAUGCCGUUAUUCCGAUACUCUUUUGUAUGAAUGAAGGACAGUGCCAGAAAGUCACAGGACAAAAAGUCACAAUUCAUUUUUUCUGAUUAUUUUCCUUAAACAAAAAGCACUUAUUUCUAUUCUUGAACUUUUGUAUACAAACCAACUUUGUAUACAAAAAUUAUCACAACAUAUCAAAGAUGAUCAAAUAAUUGUUACAAAAAACAAAAUGUCAAACUGGUUUGGCACUUAAAUGGCUUCAUGGUGCCAAUAAGUCUUUCUUUUGUAUUAUCAAAAUUUAAUAAAUCUUCAUUUUUCAAAUAUAAUAACACAUUUCGUAACUUUAAUAUGAAUAUAUGUUUUAAAGAUAUUUCUCUUAUAUAUACAAACAAUUAUCAAAAGAUUAUUGGGAUUUUUUUGUCUUGUGACUUUUUGUUCUACUAAAUUUGUGACUUUAUGUCCUGUGACUUUCAGUCCGUUAUGCUUUUGUAAACCCCUUCUAGACCCUCAUGAGACCUACAAAAUAUGUAGAAGCAGAGACUAAAUAUAGUUAACGUUGAUGUCAGCAACUUACAUUGUAUGUUCACGGUACCACAUUUAACAAUUGACAAACAUAUCAAAAAUGUGUACCUAUAGCAAGCUUGAAAGGUCUAUACAUGACAAAAUGAAAUUUAAAAUAGAUUUAGCCAGAGACAUAUAAUACAAUAUAUGUCUCUGAUUUAGCAUAAUAAAAACCGCAGAAUGUUGUAUGACAUACAUGUAGGAAGUAAAGUUUACAAGUAAGACAAAUAGUCUAUUCAACUCUAUCUUUUUUUUUAAUUUAGAAUGCCAAAGAGGAAAAGAUGUAGAAAUUAACAAAUGGAGUUAAAAAGAGAGUAAUCCUCGACCAUGAACAGCUGUUGGUACCAGUAUGGAGGAGACAUCUGUUCCAGUUUCAAUCCACACUGAAGAUGGAAAGAGAAUGAAAAAAUAUGAACGCUUAAAUUUGAUUGUCAUGCUGUUUUUUUUCUAGCACCAGUGAAAGGCACAGAGCAACUGAUUGCACAAGAAAUUGAGAUAUUUGCAGUGAAUGAGACACACAAUAAAGAUGAAGAAUCUUGCCAUCUCCCUUUCACUGUAUGCAAUUUAUUACAAGUUACCAUCGCUGAUACAUGUAUAUAUCCUUAGCUGUACAGAUACCGAAAUUUGCAUAGUUGAACUGUACCAGAUCAGUUGCAGGGAAAUGAUCAUAAAACUCUCAGUUAUCAUUGACAGUAACAUUAUGAAUAAAUGUUUGAUAAUAAAAAUAUUAUUUAUACCUGGAA
RNAcentral lists this long non-coding RNA (2220 nucleotides) under Mytilus galloprovincialis (Mediterranean mussel). Lineage: Eukaryota; Metazoa; Mollusca; Bivalvia; Mytilida; Mytilidae. The record is from RNAcentral.